AUCAAUAAGCGGAGGAAAAGCAACUAACCAGGAUUCCCCCAGUAACGGCGAGCGAAGCGGGAACAGCUCGAGCAGGCAAUCUCUGGUGUCGAUCGCCAGCGAAUUGUGGCCGGCAGAGGCGGAUGCACCUGACGCGACUCCGUCGAAGUUGACCUGGAAAGGCACGUCGGAGAGGGUGAUAGCCCCGUGCGUGGCGGAGUCGUCGACGGCCGCUACCGUCUUCGAAGAGUCGGGUUGUUUGGGAGUGCAGCCCAAAGUGGGUGGUAAACUCCAUCUAAAGCCAAAUAACGGCACGAGACCGAUAGCGAACAAGUACCAUGAGGGAAAGGUGAAAAGCACUUUGGAAAGAGAGUUAAAGAGGCCGCGAAA
Molecule: ribosomal RNA, 369 nt
Filed under: Calthropella geodioides
Lineage: Eukaryota; Metazoa; Porifera; Demospongiae; Tetractinellida; Calthropellidae
Description: partial large subunit ribosomal RNA
Rfam family: Eukaryotic large subunit ribosomal RNA
Source: RNAcentral